Non-coding RNA from Peromyscus maniculatus bairdii (prairie deer mouse), 692 nucleotides. The record is from RefSeq and is a predicted model, not a curated record. NCBI's taxonomy places the organism in Eukaryota, Metazoa, Chordata, Mammalia, Rodentia, Cricetidae.
UAACAAAUCAGUCAAAAUACUCUAAUAUAGGAAAACCACACUUGUAGAAAUGCCACUUUACGUUGUUCAUACCUUUAGAGAGAAACAUAUUUUAGGUAAAUCUUAGACAAUUACAACAGAAAAGGAGGUUUUACUUGAAGUUGAGGAAGAUAUUGAUGGCUGGAAAGAAAAAGAAAAUCUCAAGAAUGAGUUAAAUCAAAUAAAGGAAUUAAAUAGAAAGAAGUGAUAUGUAGCCUCCCACAGGAUAUGAGUGGAGUCCAGAAAGAGUUGAAAAUGAAAGAAUAUUACUAUGGAAAUAAUGUAACUUUGGAAUGUGAGGAUGGGUAUACUCUAGAAGGCAGUUCUCAGAGCCAGUGCCAGUCAGAUGCCAACUGGGAUCCUCCUCUGGCCAAAUGUGUAUCUCUACAGUGAAAAAUACCAUCCAGUCCCAUGAACACCAGUCACUAAGAGUGAAGCUUCUAGCUGGGAACUGCCAGGGAAGGCAUGUAAGAUGAGUGACCUGCUGCCAGCAGAGAUUGGAGAAAAGGAGACCCAAGAUUGUGGACUAUCAACCCUCCAUGUGUUCCCCUCCGGAUCUUCUGCUUAGCAUGCCUCUAGAGGGCCAAGGCAGAAAUGCCUAUGUGUCCCAAGGCCAUGCUUUAUGGUGUGCACAUGUCAUGUCCUCCUCCAUAUAAAUACUUCUUGUAAUAGUA